ACAAUGUAGGUAAGGGAAGUCGGCAAGUUCGAUCCGUAACUUCGGGACAAGGAUUGGCUCUGAGGACUGGGCCCGUCGGGCUGGGGUCCGAAGCGGGUGUGGCACUGCACCGGGACUGGGCGAGACUGGCCGUGAAAGCGGUCCGGUCCGGCCCGGACCAGCGUCGGGGCCUUCCCGUGGAAUGCCUCAGCUGCGCGGCGCACCGGGCACAAAGCUCGGAGCGACCGUUUCGGCGGGCAACUAACAGCCGAUUCAGAACUGGCACGGACUAAGGGAAUCUGACAGUGUUGCCAUUCGUCGCUUUGGAUUCGCUGAUUUUGUUAAUCA
This 327-nucleotide non-coding RNA is filed under the name Stegodyphus mimosarum. Its description in RNAcentral is "Eukaryotic large subunit ribosomal RNA". It matches the Rfam family "Eukaryotic large subunit ribosomal RNA", at positions 1895 to 2153 of the family's 3401-position model. Lineage: Eukaryota; Metazoa; Arthropoda; Arachnida; Araneae; Eresidae. The record is from Rfam by way of RNAcentral.